This 76-nucleotide transfer RNA is filed under the name bacterium. RNAcentral describes it as "tRNA-His". It matches the Rfam family "tRNA". Rfam says of the family: Transfer RNA (tRNA) molecules are approximately 80 nucleotides in length. The record is from RNAcentral. RNAcentral also lists the same sequence under 1 other name.
GCGGAAGUGGCGAAGAGGUUAACGCACCUGACUGUGGAUCAGGCAUUCGUGGGUUCAAUUCCCAUUUUCCGCCCCA